This 273-nucleotide ribosomal RNA is filed under the name uncultured bacterium. RNAcentral's name for it is "partial 16S ribosomal RNA". It matches the Rfam family "Bacterial small subunit ribosomal RNA", at positions 524 to 796 of the family's 1533-position model. The record is from RNAcentral.
UACAGAGACUGCAAGCGUUAUUCGGAUUCACUGGGCGUAAAGGGUGCGCAGGCGGCCAAGUGUGUCAGGUGUGAAAUCCCGGGGCUUAACUCCGGAACUGCGCCUGAAACUACUUGGCUAGAGCAUUGGAGAGGGAAGUGGAAUUCACGGUGUAGCAGUGAAAUGCGUAGAUAUCGUGAGGAACACCAGAGGCGAAGGCGACUUCCUGGACAAUUGCUGACGCUCAGGCACGAAAGCGUGGGGAGCCAAAGGGAUUAGAAACCCCAGUAGUCC